Amphimedon queenslandica is the source of this 717-nucleotide long non-coding RNA. RefSeq lists it as uncharacterized. Lineage: Eukaryota; Metazoa; Porifera; Demospongiae; Haplosclerida; Niphatidae. The record is from RefSeq and is a predicted model, not a curated record. The transcript has 2 exons.
AGUGACUCUGAGCUGGUAGUAAAAGCUAGGAUAAAAUUGAUUAUUUUCGUAUGAUUUAAAUUAAUGUAUAAAAUAAACAUGUACAUGUACCAGUUUUAUAGGUUGGUCUAAGUGUGGAACUGCUUGUGGUGGGGUUCUGCCAUCCCCUAGCCAUUGUACAUGUAAGUAGAUGUCAUUGAUGCACAACUUUGUUGCUCUGGUGUGCUUACACAUAAUAUGUUAAGAAUGUAAAGUGGGCUAUAGGCGACAGCAUAGGAUAUGGAUCUGAAUAUGCAGAGUGGGCUUCAACAAUUGAAUUUGUUUUAACAUUUCAAUUUUGGCGUCAUUUUUGGUAUCCAUUUUCAUUCAUUUUAUUGUGGUACCCUUCAUUUUUGCUGUAAGAAAAAUUGUAUUUGCUACUAGGGCUGAAACGAAUAGUGAAAUAUUCGAAUAUUUGUUCGUUAUAGCAAUAUUUGCAUAGUUUUUUGCUAUUCGAAUAAUAAUAUUAUUAAUGGUUAUUGCAAUAAUUAACAGCCACGCCCACCACGUGUUACCUACACAGGCUGCUUUCUUAGUCUGUUUCUUGGUCUGUUUACUUCUCAACUCGCUAAAUACUGAUGCUGUGGCCAGGGAAAGUGGUUCUCAAUCUCUAAGAAGCCCUGUUUGGCAUCAUUUUGAAAAGUUUAACACCAAAAAGCAUGCCAAUUAUUCAAAUAGUGAAAAAUACUAUUCAUUUCA